GACGAACGCUGGCGGCGUGCCUAAUACAUGCAAGUCGAGCGGAACUGGGGGGAGCUUGCUCCUUCCAGUUUAGCGGCGGACGGGUGAGUAACACGUGGGCAUCCUGCCCUGCAGAUCGGGAUAACUCCGGGAAACCGGUGCUAAUACCGAAUAGUUUGGCGCCUCUCCUGAGGCGCUACGGAACGACGGUUUCGGCUGUCACUGCAGGAUGGGCCCGCGGCGCAUUAGCUAGUUGGUGGGGUAACGGCCCACCAAGGCGACGAUGCGUAGCCGAGCUGGGAGGGUGACCGGCCACGCUGGGACUGAGACACGGCCCAGACUCCUACGGGAGGCAACAGUAGGGAAUCUUCCGCAAUGGACGGAAGUCUGACGGAGCAACGCCGCGUGGGUGACGAAGGUUUUCGGAUCGUAAAACUCUGUUGUGAGGGAAGAACACGUACCAACUAACUAUUGGUACCUUGACGGUACCUCACCAGAAAGCCACGGCUAACUACGUGCCAGCCGCCGCGGUAA
Molecule: ribosomal RNA, 513 nt
Filed under: uncultured bacterium
Lineage: Bacteria
Description: partial 16S ribosomal RNA
Rfam family: Bacterial small subunit ribosomal RNA
Source: RNAcentral